GGUGGUCAUAAUGUGCUGUCAAAUCUUGAUUGAAAAAGACGACCGGCGGUGGAGAGGUCUUGGCCCAAAAAAUCCGGCCAGGGCUACAAAGGGGGUGGCUCCAGAAUUAAUUUUAAGACUCAAUCUCCAGACCAAAACCUGAUCAAAAACUUGUGAAAGGGGCUUGUGCUGAGCAACAGCAUACACUU
Hippocampus comes (tiger tail seahorse) is the source of this 188-nucleotide long non-coding RNA. RefSeq lists it as uncharacterized. NCBI's taxonomy places the organism in Eukaryota, Metazoa, Chordata, Actinopteri, Syngnathiformes, Syngnathidae. The transcript is spliced from 3 exons. The record is from RefSeq and is a predicted model, not a curated record.